GCACCGUCCGGACUCCAAAGUCUGACGCAUCGCACUGAAUUAAGAAAUUUCUCUUGAAGUCCGCAUGCACAAGGACUGGGGCUGUUCUUAACGCUAUUUUCAAGGACUCUACGGCUAGCACUGUAAGAAAGAAAACUUUGAGUUACCAGUUUUCUUCAGCGAUUCAGUGAGCGGAGCAACCAACGUUGCGAAGUUCUUUAUAAACCUGCGGUACCAUCCAGCAGUGUCGAGGAACACUCUCACCUCCUUCAUGGUCCUUAGCUCUUGCAUCCUUCUGAUCGCUGCUACUCGUCCGGGAUCCAUCCAUAGACGCCCUCCACCAUCGAUAAGACCAAGGUCUAAUCCCUAAGCAAAACUUCGACUUACCCACAGCUUUGGUUAAUCCCGCUGUCUUCAGGCAUUCUGCGACUCGGCGAAGGUACUUAAGAUGCGUCUGGAUAUCUGGAGCCUGUAUCGGCAGAUCAUCUAAUUAGACGAAGACGUUGGAGCGGAUCUCGGCUGGAAUUACUCGAUCCAUAAACCUUACCAGCCGCUGCGCCGCGUUCCAGAGUCCGAAAGGCAUUACAAGGAAUUAAUAGAGAAGCCGACCAGAAACCGUAAAGGCCGUCAAUUCCUUGCUUCUCGGAUCCAAUUCGAUCUGCCAGAACGCGAACUUUAAAUCCAACCUGGAAAUAUAGUACUUUUGGUCGAUUCUAGAAAGAAUGCCACCGAUACUAGGCAGUGGGUCUAGACACUACCGUCGUGCCUUUGCUCCACGGGCUCUUGAUCUCCUCGAUGACUCCGAGAGCCAACAUCUUGUCCCCCUCAUCCUAGACCACCUUCUGCUUCGCGGGCGACAUGGGAUAGGUCGAUCCUUGAAGACCUUGGCUCCUUCAAUCAGCUCGAUGUGUGUUUUCUUGUCGUCCGCAGACCGUCCUUUUCGAACGUGAGAAACAUCUCCUGGAUCUCGGCCGUUUCCGGAAUCGAUCCCUGACCUUCUGGACUUUUCUGGACACCAAUCUCAAGCCGCUCAACUGGUGCUCGGCGAAGAUCUGGUUUCUGACCUCAAAAAAUCGGUGCAUCCGUUCUUCAUACGGACGUUUACUGCUUCGCGGGAUUCUAUUCGUCCACCUCGUGCACAUCCGAAUCCUCUUCAGUCUCAGAAAGCGCGGCCUCGCUCACCAUGGGCUUGUCCCCCGGGGCUAAGGUGCGGUUGCUCCCCAUAUGAGGCGCGUUCUCGGCGGUCGAAGUUGCGUUCGACCGCGAUGCACUCGUCCCGCAGCUCGUCCACCAUUGUGCGAGAGGCCAGCUGCUGCAUCGUGUGGACUUAAUCCUCUGCACUCUCUACAGGCUGUUGCUCCCGCUGUAGGAGUUCGUGCAUCCUUUCGUGCUCCGUUUGGCGACCUGUCCAUCAGCGAAGUACGCAACUGGGACCACGUGGACUCAAUACCUCUUUCGAGCUCGUCCCUUGAGCAGCACGUGGUACUGCCGCUGCAGAAACUCCACCCGGAACACGAAGUCCUCCACCGAGUUGCUGUCGUUCUCGCCGACGAAGUAAACUCCCUACCGAUCCAUCCAGACCUAUUGGCUGAUACAGUCCUGUCCCACAUUGGCAUACUGACUCUGUUCCUCGCGGAAAUCGGGAGCUCUGCGGUCCUCGAUGCGCCAUUUCUGCGCGCCUUCAUGAUUAAGCCGGGGCCCGUUCCCUAAGACGUAUCUUGGACUGCUACUCUCGAACUUCGGAGAAUCCCAUGCCCUUCUAGGCGACUUCGAUGGCACCCUUGGUGGUCGCCGGUAACUGCCGACCGAGAGUCCUCGGGGACCGCACCUCGCGGAUCCUGGCAUGAAUUCCGUGAAGCAGACCCCGCACCGCCCUUGUCUUCCAAGGACCACAAAGCCUUGUCUUCCCCGGCUGAAGGAACCACCGAACGAAGCCCAUGCCCGUGCUUGUUUCCUACUUCGAUAUCUUUUGCGCAGCCACCCUUGCAUUGGUGCCCCGAGGGACGUCAAUCUCCCCCACAGGGACAACUCACUCACACAUUUCGGGUUUAACAGACAUUUAAUAAACACGCCUUCAAGACCAAAACUUGGCAGCCGUCUUCAAUUUUACGCGGUCAAAGCGGAGAAUACGUUCCCCACAAGGGACAUACGCAAUGCGCUCGUGUCGGGUCACC
This is a long non-coding RNA of Drosophila subpulchrella, 2153 nucleotides long. RefSeq lists it as uncharacterized. NCBI's taxonomy places the organism in Eukaryota, Metazoa, Arthropoda, Insecta, Diptera, Drosophilidae. The record is from RefSeq and is a predicted model, not a curated record. The transcript is spliced from 6 exons.